RNAcentral lists this ribosomal RNA (497 nucleotides) under uncultured bacterium. RNAcentral's name for it is "partial 16S ribosomal RNA". It matches the Rfam family "Bacterial small subunit ribosomal RNA", at positions 28 to 507 of the family's 1533-position model. The record is from RNAcentral.
GACGAACGCUGGCGGCGUGCCUAAUACAUGCAAGUUGAGCGCUGAAGGUUGGUACUUGUACCAACUGGAUGAGCAGCGAACGGGUGAGUAACGCGUGGGGAAUCUGCCUUUGAGCGGGGGACAACAUUUGGAAACGAAUGCUAAUACCGCAUAAAAACUUUAAACACAAGUUUUAAGUUUGAAAGAUGCAAUUGCAUCACUCAAAGAUGAUCCCGCGUUGUAUUAGCUAGUUGGUGAGGUAAAGGCUCACCAAGGCGAUGAUACAUAGCCGACCUGAGAGGGUGAUCGGCCACAUUGGGACUGAGACACGGCCCAAACUCCUACGGGAGGCAGCAGUAGGGAAUCUUCGGCAAUGGACGAAAGUCUGACCGAGCAACGCCGCGUGAGUGAAGGAGGUUUUCGGAUCGUAAAACUCUGUUGGUAGAGAAGAACGUUGGUGAGAGUGGAAAGCUCAUCAAGUGACGGUAACUACACAGAAAGCGACGGCUAACUACGUG